RNAcentral lists this unclassified non-coding RNA (353 nucleotides) under soil metagenome. RNAcentral's name for it is "partial contains 5.8S ribosomal RNA, internal transcribed spacer 2, and large subunit ribosomal RNA". The stretch from base 1 to 120 matches the Rfam family "5.8S ribosomal RNA", at positions 35 to 154 of the family's 154-position model. The record is from RNAcentral.
GAUGAAGAACGUAGCGAAAUGCGAUAAGUAAUGUGAAUUGCAGAAUUCCGUGAAUCAUCGAAUCUUUGAACGCACAUUGCGCCCGCGAGUAUUCUCGCGGGCAUGCCUGUCCGAGCGUCAUUUCAACCCUCAGGGCCCGCCUGCUUCGGCAGGCGCGGCGCUGGUGUUGGGGAUCGGCCUAACCGCCGUCCCCCAAAUACAGUGGCGGUCUCGCUGCAGCCUCCCCUGCGUAGUAGCAACACUCGCAUGCGGAGAGCGGCGCGGCCACGCCGUAAAACCCCCGACUUUCUGAACGUUGACCUCGGAUCAGGUAGGAAUACCCGCUGAACUUAAGCAUAUCAAUAAGCGGAGGA